AGUGAUGAUUAUUGGAGGUAGAGCACUGUUUGGACGAGGGGCCCCUCUCGGGUUACCGAAUUCAGACAAACUCCGAAUGCCAAUCAAUUUAACUUGGGAGUCAGAACAUGGGUGAUAAGGUCCGUGUUCGAAAGGGAAACAGCCCAGACCACCAGCUAAGGUCCCAAAAUAUAUGUUAAGUGGAAAAGGAUGUGGCGUUGCCCAGACAACUAGGAUGUUGGCUUAGAAGCAGCCAUCAUUUAAAGAGUGCGUAAUAGCUCACUAGUCGAGUGACACUGCGCCGAAAAUGUACCGGGGCUAAACAUAUUACCGAAGCUGUGGAUUGUCCGUAGGACAGUGGUAGGAGAGCGUUCUAAGGGCGUUGAAGCAUGACCGUAAGGACGUGUGGAGCGCUUAGAAGUGAGAAUGCCGGUGUGAGUAGCGAAAGAUGGGUGAGAAUCCCAUCCACCGAUUGACUAAGGUUUCCAGAGGAAGGCUCGUCCGCUCUGGGUUAGUCGGGACCUAAGCCGAGGCCGACAGGCGUAGGCGAUGGAUAACAGGUUGAUAUUCCUGUACCACCUCAAUUCGUUUUAAGCGAUGGGGGGGACGCAGUAGGAUAGGCGAAGCGUGCUGUUGGAGUGCACGUCCAAGCAGUAAGGCCGAGUGGUAGGCAAAUCCGCCACUCAUCAAGCUGAGCUGUGAUGGGGAGAGGAAAUUGUUUCCUCGAGUCGUUGAUUUCACACUGCCGAGAAAAGCCUCUAGC
This 742-nucleotide ribosomal RNA is filed under the name Listeria monocytogenes. RNAcentral's name for it is "partial 23S ribosomal RNA". It matches the Rfam family "Bacterial large subunit ribosomal RNA", at positions 885 to 1625 of the family's 2925-position model. Lineage: Bacteria; Bacillati; Bacillota; Bacilli; Caryophanales; Listeriaceae. The record is from RNAcentral.